GCAAGAUGGACCAUUUUUAGGCCUUGAAAUCCAUUUUUGUCAGAUCCAAGAACAUCAAGUUGGAGAUGAUUUAUUUGUAGGUUUCUGCCUUUUGAAUUGAGUUCUUCGUCAAGAUUUAAGGUGUGUUAUUGGAAAAGCAUUUCAUAAAGCCUCAAUUUUACAAAUUGACAUCUCAAGUUUAGCCAUGAAAUUGGUUUUUGAGUGCUGGAAAACUUGCAAAUUGAUCAUCUCAACCUCGAUUAUCAUGGACUUGAAAGAAAAUGGAUUUCAAGCUCUAAAAAUAGUUCAUCUUGC
Molecule: microRNA precursor, 294 nt
Filed under: Amborella trichopoda
Lineage: Eukaryota; Viridiplantae; Streptophyta; Magnoliopsida; Amborellales; Amborellaceae
Description: miR8596 stem-loop (atr-MIR8596)
Source: miRBase by way of RNAcentral